This 274-nucleotide ribosomal RNA is filed under the name uncultured bacterium. Its description in RNAcentral is "partial 16S ribosomal RNA". It matches the Rfam family "Bacterial small subunit ribosomal RNA", at positions 523 to 796 of the family's 1533-position model. The record is from RNAcentral.
AUACGGAGGGUGCAAGCGUUACUCGGAAUCACUGGGCGUAAAGCGCGCGCAGGCGGCUUGAUAAGUUGGAUGUGAAAGCCUACGGCUCAACCGUAGAACUGCAUCCAAAACUGUCAAGCUAGAGUCUGGGAGGGGAAGAUGGAAUUAGUUGUGUAGGGGUAAAAUCCGUAGAGAUAACUAGGAAUACCAAAAGCGAAGGCGAUCUUCUGGAACAGUACUGACGCUGGGGCGCGAAAGCGUGGGGAGCAAACAGGAUUAGAAACCCUAGUAGUCC